This 29-nucleotide small RNA is filed under the name Bombyx mori (domestic silkworm). RNAcentral's name for it is "ovarian small RNA-18559". The record is from RNAcentral. Lineage: Eukaryota; Metazoa; Arthropoda; Insecta; Lepidoptera; Bombycidae.
UAACACACCUUGGUCCAUGACAUAGCCUC